GACGAACGCUGGCGGCGUGCUUAACACAUGCAAGUCGAACGGAAAGGCCCUGCUUUUGUGGGGUGCUCGAGUGGCGAACGGGUGAGUAACACGUGAGUAACCUGCCCUUGACUUUGGGAUAACUUCAGGAAACUGGGGCUAAUACCGGAUAGGAGCUCCUGCUGCAUGGUGGGGGUUGGAAAGUUUCGGCGGUUGGGGAUGGACUCGCGGCUUAUCAGCUUGUUGGUGGGGUAGUGGCUUACCAAGGCUUUGACGGGUAGCCGGCCUGAGAGGGUGACCGGCGACAUGGGGACUGAGAUACGGCCCAGACUCCUACGGGAGGCAGAAGUGGGGAAUAUUGCACAAUGGGCGGAAGCCUGAUGCAGCAACGCCGCGUGCGGGAUGACGGCCUUCGGGUUGUAAACCGCUUUCGCCUGUGACGAAGCGUGAGUGACGGUAAUGGGUAAAGAAGCACCGGCUAACUACGUG
Molecule: ribosomal RNA, 468 nt
Filed under: uncultured bacterium
Lineage: Bacteria
Description: partial 16S ribosomal RNA
Rfam family: Bacterial small subunit ribosomal RNA
Source: RNAcentral